GUAAAGUUUUAUCCUGGCUUAUUCUUUCAUUUUUAGGUCAAAGGUACAUGUAAAGUUUAAUACGACAAUAUAAAUUCAUCUUUAUUUAAAACUAAAGGUUGGUGGAUUAUUAUAAAGUAGAGGGUUCGUUAAAUAAUAAAUUCUCAGUAUCUAGUGCUAAUCAAUAAAUGUAAGUUGGAAUUGAUGAUCUUAAUAAAAUAUCUGGUUAAAAUUUGUGCCAGCAGCCGCGGUUAUACUGAGAGGUAAAUUGAAAGAAACUUGGUUAAAAAUAGUUAUAUUUUAUGAUCUUUUACUUUUAUGGAGCUGUGCUAAUAAAGGGUGAAAUCAAUUUUUUAGCAUACAGUAAAAUAAAAGCUUUGAUUUAAAUUGAAGCUGUUAAGAUAAAGGGAUGAACCAGGAUUAGAUACCCUGUUACACUUUAUUUAAAUUAUAAUUACCUGGGUACUAAACAGUUAUUAUCUUGAAACUCAAAGGAUUUGGCGGUAACUUAGUCUAUUUAGAGGAACCUGUCCUGUAAUCGAUAGUCCACGAAAAAUCUUACUUUACCUUGUAAAAACAGUUUGUAUACCGUCAUUAUUAGGUAACUUUUAUAAAAGGCGAAGUUACUAAAAUAGUUUAGCUAAUAUAUUAGAUCAAGGUGCAGCUAAUGGUAAAGGAAGAGAUGGGUUACAAUAUACUAAAGUAAACGGAACAAUAAAUGAAUAUUUACUGAUAAAGGUGGAUUUAAGAGUAAAAUAAUUUUAACAAGAUUAUUUGACUUUAGCUCUAGGUUAUGUACACAUCGCCCGUCGCUCUCGUUAAUUAAAGCGAGAUAAGUCGUAACAUAGUAGGUGUACUGGAAAGUGUACCUAGAAAUUC
RNAcentral lists this non-coding RNA (858 nucleotides) under Penaeus semisulcatus. Lineage: Eukaryota; Metazoa; Arthropoda; Malacostraca; Decapoda; Penaeidae. The record is from RNAcentral.